AAAUAUCCUUUUAAGGAUGAAUGAAGUUUUUCAACUCCAGAUAAGUAUAGUGACUAGCCCUUAAGAGCAGUGCUAUUCAUUCAUAUAGCCACUUACAGGGCCACAAUAUUCACAAUUAAAAACCCAUCAGACAGAUGGUGCCAAUUUCUGAAAAGCCAUCUCGUCCCUCAAAACACCUUCUUGUAGUCAGGGGAAAUACAGGUCCCACCAGGAGAGGAUUCAGAAUCAAAGCUCCAAUUCAUCUGGUCGUGGACACUUCUGUCACAGAGCCCAAGAAAAACAGCUGUCUUACCUACACCUCGGAACUAACUGAGCAACUGAAGGAGACCAAUUGCGGCCCCUGCUGGUACCUGACACCUACAAAACAACAGAAUCAAGAGAGGGCAGCAACACCAGAAACAUUCCCAUUGAAACGCUGUAACCCAAAAAAUAAAAUAAAAAUGUAAGAACAAAAGGAUAUCGUAGUAACAACAUCAGCAGAGAACAUCUAAUGACCAGGUAUCGCAGUAACUAGCAACAGGAACUCCCUCUACACCUUCAGUUACGUCUCAAACUGGUUUCCCACUUCGUGAAGGACUUUGCAAGAAAGGAUUUUUCAGCUUUGUAAAGCUCAGCCAGCAGACCAAUGCCUGGAACCUUGCCCUGUGAAAAUGCAUGGUCUACCUCCUUUACCACAGGUUGACACAGGCAGCACUUGAACAUGACUUCAAAAAAUGAGAUUAGAAUAUUUUAAGGGUUCACCCAUUUUGUUGGUUUCAUGAUUCAGUUUCAGUAAAGAAUCUUGGCUGCAGCACUUCUAACUUCCCAAAUGUCAUAAUUUAAAACUUGUACACAUUUAAAUUUAAAAGAAGAAACAAACACGCACCCAAGAGCUUUAGGAACAAAGCCAGUUCAGUUACAGAACAUUCUGUACUGUGAGGAACAUCAACACAUACUGGCUCACGUGUUUGGACAGUCAGUUUAGGAACUAAGUCUUUGUUCUACAAGAAAAUAGAUUAAAGAUGGGGUAAACAA
This is a long non-coding RNA of Pseudopipra pipra, 1014 nucleotides long. RefSeq lists it as uncharacterized. Lineage: Eukaryota; Metazoa; Chordata; Aves; Passeriformes; Pipridae. The record is from RefSeq and is a predicted model, not a curated record. The transcript has 2 exons.